This 222-nucleotide ribosomal RNA is filed under the name uncultured bacterium. RNAcentral's name for it is "partial 16S ribosomal RNA". It matches the Rfam family "Bacterial small subunit ribosomal RNA", at positions 524 to 742 of the family's 1533-position model. The record is from RNAcentral.
UACGUAGGGUGCAAGCGUUGUCCGGAAUUAUUGGGCGUAAAGAGCUCGUAGGCGGUUUGUCGCGUCUGCUGUGAAAACUCAGGGCUUAACCCUGAGCUUGCAGUGGGUACGGGCAGACUAGAGUGCGGUAGGGGAGACUGGAAUUCCUGGUGUAGCGGUGAAAUGCGCAGAUAUCAGGAGGAACACCGGUGGGCGAAGGCGGGGUCUCUGGGCCGUAAACUG